GUGCUCACUUUGGAAGCACAUAUACUAAAAUUGGAACGAUACAGAGAAGAUUAACAUGGCCCCUGCGCAAGGA
This 73-nucleotide small nuclear RNA is filed under the name Peromyscus maniculatus bairdii (prairie deer mouse). Lineage: Eukaryota; Metazoa; Chordata; Mammalia; Rodentia; Cricetidae. The record is from RNAcentral.